This 839-nucleotide long non-coding RNA is filed under the name Homo sapiens (human). Its description in RNAcentral is "non-protein coding lnc-STPG2-2:1". Lineage: Eukaryota; Metazoa; Chordata; Mammalia; Primates; Hominidae. The record is from RNAcentral.
ACAAACUACUUGCUUCCACUUCCCCGCCCGGGAUGAGGAGUCUCCACGACGGGGAAAGGUCGCACUGACAGAGAAGGAAGUUACACGAAGUGGUAGUGGUCGGACCCGAGCCUCGAGCUCAGUACACGCGGGGGAAAAGGAAGCGGGCGGCCUCUGGAGAAACGGGGAUGGAGCUGCAGAUGCGAGCCCGCGAGGCAGGCUCCGUGGUGCCCGGGCACCGGCAGGAAGAAUGGAGGAGGGGAGGCGAGGCUGCGAGGUGCCGGGGAGCCGGGCGGCGGUCCGGCCCGCGGCCGACCCCACCCCAGCCCGCGCUCGGGACCCUCCCAGCCCCGGCACCCGGCGUGCGUUCCGCGUGCGCCGACUCUCCCCGGAGGAACAGCCACCGUCUCACACCCGGGGACUGGAGAAAUCCGGCAACUUUGCGCGAGAAAUGCUUCCCACCCUGCAGCACGCCGAGAAAGAAAAAAAUGUCAGGCGAUGACGGCGGAGGAAGGAUGACUUACCCAUGUUGCUCCCCGAGGGUGGAGUCUCGCUCUGUCGCCCAGGCUGGAGUGUAAUGGUGCUAUCUCGGCUCACUGCAAGCUCUGCCUCCUGGGUUCACACCAUUCUGCUGCCUCAGCCUCCCGAGUAGCUGGGACUACAGGCGCCCGCCACCACGCCUGGCUAAUUUUUUGUAUUUUUAGUAGAGAAGGGGUUUCUCUGUGUUAGCCAGGAUGGUCUCCAUCUCCUGACCUCGUGAUCCACCCGCCUUGUCCUCUCAAAGUGCUGGGAUUACAGGUGUGAGCCACCGCGCCUGGCUGGUUCCAUGAUGUAAUUUUCAAUAAACAUCAUUAACUUGA